UAAGGGCAGGGCCAAGGGCCCCUAUAGUGGAAGGACCUGACAUUCAGAGGUCAAGAGGGCAUGAAGGAUGGUCAUCAGUUUCCAGUACUCUGUCCAAUGUGGGCCAAGUACAAAACGGCCUCUAGGACUUUUAUAUGUGGGCAAAAGAGUUCCUGAUCAGGCACGUGAAUCCCAAAAUCUCUGCAUUUCUCUCCCUCCAGGAAGGACAUCCACCCCACGCACAACACCCACACUCACCACUAAAUUUUGUGUCUGACAGAGUACACAGCACAGUACUAGAUUUUGUAAUUUUAAAUUUGAUACAUUUAUGGCCUGAUGUUUACAAUGGCACAGGAGUCACUCAGGUUUCUGUGCUACCUUAAGAAGACAGAACAAUUCUUUUUCCGUCUUGAGGCAUGGGGGAGUUUCCCCAAACCACUGGUAAACUUCAAGGAACAAGCCAAACCCAGGAUACACUAAAACAUAAGAAUGAGAACACAAGGCAAGAGAAGAAAUCUGCUGUAAACCGUCUUUCAAGAAACAACUUCUAUAAAUUUCCAUGAAGGAAGAUGACCAAUUUUUAAAAGGAAUUUAAAGAGUAACAAGUUCUGAUCUUUGAUGUAAGAAAGGUAAGUGAAUUUUAAAACUUAUUGCUAUUUGAACAUAAGGACCAUCAAAUAGCUCUCUAAUUCUUUCUGCAAUGCAAACAGGUGCUUUAUUACAAGGCAGGAAUUGGAAGGAACAUUUGUUGUAUGGGAUCUUUCAAUAUAUAAAGGUUAUUGCAACCAGUUUAACAAUACCUCUUUUCUAUUUCUGCCUCACUGAAACAUGGAAAUGGUUUUGCUAUCUAGAACCCUUCACUGUAAUGAUAUUCACAUACUGGGAUUUUACCCAUAAUAUGCUUCAUAAAUUCCCUUUAAUUCAUUACAAAAUUGAAAUUAUUCAAUAAACUUAUUGGGUUUAAUUCUCCCCGUGAUAUCCAGAAAUACUUGUGGUCAUUACCCUCCCCAUCCUCCAAUACAAAGAAAAUAGAAACAGAGCCUAUCCCUUGUGCUCUUACAUAAUGACUAGGAGAAAUUUACUCUCCACCACAAAACUGACAAUGCUUUCCAGGAAGCACAGUGAUAUAAACUAUAUGAUGGACAUUAUACAGAAUAUCCAUACACUCACAACCGCCAAUGAAACCCAUCAAGGUUCUCCCAAUCAAACCCCAUUUUGGUGACCAAGUGUGAAAGCCAUGCACAGAGCAGAGUGCUUGUGCACAGGAGGCAAUGAAUCCAUGAGUUACACUAGCUUCAAUUCUCAUGCCCUCACCUCCUCCCUAUAAAGGAGAGGGAAAUAUGAUCAGAUUCAAGAUUUCUUGGAAUUAAGGGAUAUAAAGAUUUGGGCAAAAUCCUUAAGAUUAACUGAUAAUUUAAAAAUGAAUAGGACUACACAGGGUCUCCAUUACAGCAUGGGUCAAAGGACUUUGCCUAUAUAAUCUCACAAUAUUCCUGAGAGGGUGAAGGUAAAUAUUACUUCUCCCAUUCAUGGAUGAGGAAGCUUGCUGCCCAGGAAAACAUGGUGAAUCGGUGGUAGAGCCAAAGAACAGACUUAGUUGUCUUCUAGCCUAUCCAUUGAACC
Non-coding RNA from Phascolarctos cinereus (koala), 1602 nucleotides. The record is from RefSeq and is a predicted model, not a curated record. NCBI's taxonomy places the organism in Eukaryota, Metazoa, Chordata, Mammalia, Diprotodontia, Phascolarctidae.